This 245-nucleotide ribosomal RNA is filed under the name uncultured bacterium. RNAcentral's name for it is "partial 16S ribosomal RNA". It matches the Rfam family "Bacterial small subunit ribosomal RNA", at positions 524 to 768 of the family's 1533-position model. The record is from RNAcentral.
UACAGAGGUGGCAAGCGUUGUUCGGAUUUACUGGGCGUAAAGGGUGCGUAGGUGGUUUCGCGUGUCGGAUGUGAAAUCUGGCUGCUCAACAGUCAAACUGCAUUCGAAACUGCGAUUCUUGAGUACAGGAGAGGAGAGCGGAAUUCUUGGUGUAGCGGUGAAAUGCGUUGAUAUCAAGAGGAACACCAGUGGCGAAGGCGGCUCUCUGGAAUGUAACUGACACUGAGGCACGAAAGUUGGGGGAG